AUAGUUAACCUGACAGGGGAGACACCAUGAUCAUGAAGGUGGCUUUCCCAGGGUAAGGCUUAUCCAUUGCACUCUGGGUGUACUGACCCCUGCGAUUUCCCCAAAUGCAGGAAACUUGACUGCAUGACUUGUGCUAGUGGGGGACUACUUUUGCACUUUCCCCUA
Small nuclear RNA from Camelus dromedarius (Arabian camel), 165 nucleotides. Its record names the gene U1. It matches the Rfam family "U1 spliceosomal RNA". Rfam says of the family: U1 is a small nuclear RNA (snRNA) component of the spliceosome (involved in pre-mRNA splicing). NCBI's taxonomy places the organism in Eukaryota, Metazoa, Chordata, Mammalia, Artiodactyla, Camelidae. The record is from Ensembl.